UGAUCUCUGAUUACGUUAUACUACAUAUGAGCUCAUAUGUAGUACAUAUGAGCUCAUAUGUAGUAACAUAUGAGCUCAUAUGUAGUAUAACGUAAUCAGAGAUCAAUAUUUUA
This 113-nucleotide small RNA is filed under the name Mytilus galloprovincialis (Mediterranean mussel). The record is from RNAcentral. Lineage: Eukaryota; Metazoa; Mollusca; Bivalvia; Mytilida; Mytilidae.